Molecule: transfer RNA, 85 nt
Filed under: Alteromonas mediterranea
Lineage: Bacteria; Pseudomonadati; Pseudomonadota; Gammaproteobacteria; Alteromonadales; Alteromonadaceae
Description: tRNA-Tyr
Rfam family: tRNA
About the family: Transfer RNA (tRNA) molecules are approximately 80 nucleotides in length.
Source: RNAcentral
GGACGUGUAUACAAGAGGUCAACGUGAGCAGACUGUAAAUCUGCCGGCUCAGCCUUCGAAGGUUCGAAUCCUUCCGCGUCCACCA